This 272-nucleotide unclassified non-coding RNA is filed under the name uncultured fungus. RNAcentral describes it as "partial contains small subunit ribosomal RNA, internal transcribed spacer 1, and 5.8S ribosomal RNA". The stretch from base 1 to 73 matches the Rfam family "Eukaryotic small subunit ribosomal RNA", at positions 1759 to 1831 of the family's 1831-position model. The record is from RNAcentral. Lineage: Eukaryota; Fungi.
GCAAACUUGGUCAUUUAGAGGAAGUAAAAGUCGUAACAAGGUUUCCGUAGGUGAACCUGCGGAAGGAUCAUUAAAAAUGAGAUUCCAUCAUUCAUCCAUUGUGUGCAUCAUUGAAAAGUGCAAACUCUUGGGAGAAUUGAUUCUCCCAGAGUUUUUUUAUUUUCAAAAAUGAUUCUUCUCUUGUCUGAUGUUAAAAAAUUUUUUUUAUUUAAAAAUAAAAAACAACUUUCAACAACGGAUCUCUUGGCUCUCGCAUCGAUGAAGAACGCAGC